Molecule: ribosomal RNA, 468 nt
Filed under: uncultured bacterium
Lineage: Bacteria
Description: partial 16S ribosomal RNA
Rfam family: Bacterial small subunit ribosomal RNA
Source: RNAcentral
GACGAAUGCUGGCGGCGUGCUUAACACAUGCAAGUCGAACGGAAAGGCCCUGCUUUUGUGGGGUGCUCGAGUGGCGAACGGGUGAGUAACACGUGAGUAACCUGCCCUUGACUUUGGGGUAACUUCAGGAAACUGGGGCUAAUACCGGAUAGGAGCUCCUGCUGCAUGGUGGGGGUUGGAAAGUUUCGGCGGUUGGGGAUGGACUCGCGGCUUAUCAGCUUGUUGGUGGGGUAGUGGCUUACCAAGGCUUUGACGGGUAGCCGGCCUGAGAGGGUGACCGGCCACAUUGGGACUGAGAUACGGCCCAGACUCCUACGGGAGGCAGCAGUGGGGAAUAUUGCACAAUGGGCGGAAGCCUGAUGCAGCAACGCCGCGUGCGGGAUGACGGCCUUCGGGUUGUAAACCGCUUUCGCCUGUGACGAAGCGUGAGUGACGGUAAUGGGUAAAGAAGCACCGGCUAACUACGUG